This 640-nucleotide ribosomal RNA is filed under the name Hepatozoon canis. Its description in RNAcentral is "bacterial SSU rRNA". It matches the Rfam family "Eukaryotic small subunit ribosomal RNA", at positions 196 to 824 of the family's 1831-position model. The record is from RNAcentral. Lineage: Eukaryota; Apicomplexa; Hepatozoidae.
GAGGAACGCAUUUAUUAGAUAAAAAGCCAAUGCAUGCUUUUACAGUAUGGAAAUUGGUGAUUUAUAAUAACUUGGCAAAUCGCAAAGUGAAAACAGGCGAUAAAUCAUUCAAGUUUCUGACCUAUCAGCUUUCGACGGUAUGGUAUUGGCUUACCGUGGCAGUGACGGUUAACGGGGGAUUAGGGUUCGAUUCCGGAGAGGGAGCCUGAGAAACGGCUACCACAUCUAAGGAAGGCAGCAGGCGCGCAAAUUACCCAAUUCUAACAGUUUGAGAGAGGUAGUAACAAGAAAUAACAAUACAAGGCAAUUAAAAUGCUUUGUAAUUGGAAUGAUAGAAAUUUAAACCCUUUUUAAAGUAUCAAUUGGAGGGCAAGUCUGGUGCCAGCAGCCGCGGUAAUUCCAGCUCCAAUAGCGUAUAUUAAAAUUGUUGCAGUUAAAAAGCUCGUAGUUGAAGUUCUGCUAAAAGUAACCGGUCUGCUUUUAAUAAAAGUGGUAUCUUGGUGUGUAUUUAGCAAUGAUGUCCUUUGAAGUGUUUUUUACUUUAUUGUAAUAAAGCAUAUUCAGGACUUUUACUUUGAGAAAAUUAGAGUGUUUCUAGCAGGCCGACGCUUUGAAUACUGCAGCAUGGAAUAAAUUAAGA